CACUAUUACUCCACCACCCAGAGGUAACCACAAUUAAUUUUAAACUAUGUCCUUCUAGUAUUUGUUCUGUUCAUACUCAUACAUGUAAUCUUCUGUUUCUGGUUCUAGAUCAUGCCUCUAUUUUUGUACUAACCUCUCGCAGACAAUACAGGCACUGCCUGGUGCUGGUGUCCAUGGGCUUCUCAGUAACAAGAUAGCUAGUAUUGCUUCUGUUGAAAGCAGGGAAUCUGUCAGCCUCUCAGAUUACUAACUACACUCUUUCACCCCUCCCUCUUUCUUACCUUUUUUUUUUCUUUUUGAGACGGAGUCUGGCUCUGUUGCCCAGUCUGGAGUGCAGUGGCACAGUCUUGGCUCACUGCAACCUCCACCUCCCGGGUUCAAGCAUUUCUGCUGCCCCAGCCUCCUGAGUAGCUGGGACUACAGGCGCCUGCCAUCACGCCCAGCCAAUAUUUGUAUUUUUAGUAGAGACGGGGUUUCACCAUGUUGGCCAGGCUGGUCUUGAACUGGUGACCUCAAGUGAUCCACCCACAUCGGCCUCCCAAAGUGCUGGGAUUACAGACGUGAGCCACACCUCCAGUCUUUUGAUCUGAACAAAGCUAUUAGCCUUUUUCACCUGAAAACCACAGUUGUUGCCAGCUAAUCUGAAAAGGCAGGAGGUCCGGGAUUGUUGUCAUCUACCUGGAGCGAUAAGGGUGCAGGGGAAAGCAGAGAAAAUAGUGACUGUGGGAAGAGAACCAAGUUGACCUAGAAAACGCUAAAACUUUAAGGAUUAUCUAACCCCCAGUAGCACCGAGACACUGUGGUUUAAUUCUCAUAAAGUUCAAAUAACAGAACAGCCGUGCCGGGCUAUCACUGAAAUGGUCAAACCUCCUGUCUUGUGACCUUUCCUUCUCUUCAGGGUUCCCCACUGAAGGACUUGGUCCAGCUGUCUGGCAGGGAGGAGAGACAGAAGCUCUGGCCCGCCUGGAUAAGCACUUGGAACGGAAGGCCUGGGUUGCCAACUAUGAGAGACCCCGAAUGAACGCCAACUCCCUCCUGGCCAGCCCCACAGGCCUCAGCCCCUACCUGCGCUUUGGUUGUCUCUCCUGCCGCCUCUUCUACUACCGCCUGUGGGACCUGUAUAAAAAGGUGAAGCGGAACAGCACACCUCCCCUCUCCCUAUUUGGGCAACUCCUGUGGCGAGAGUUCUUCUACACGGCAGCUACCAACAACCCCAGGUUUGACCGCAUGGAGGGGAACCCCAUCUGCAUCCAGAUCCCCUGGGACCGCAAUCCUGAGGCCCUGGCCAAGUGGG
RNAcentral lists this small RNA (1294 nucleotides) under Pan troglodytes (chimpanzee). RNAcentral's name for it is "retained intron". The record is from RNAcentral. Lineage: Eukaryota; Metazoa; Chordata; Mammalia; Primates; Hominidae.